RNAcentral lists this small RNA (159 nucleotides) under Arabidopsis thaliana (thale cress). RNAcentral's name for it is "ATSL089380". The record is from RNAcentral. Lineage: Eukaryota; Viridiplantae; Streptophyta; Magnoliopsida; Brassicales; Brassicaceae.
UCUUAUUGCUUCUCAAAGCUUUGAUGGUGUAGCCGAAGUCUUUAUGAGUCUUUGGAUUUGUAUCUUCUAACAAGGAAACACUACUUAGGCUUUUAAGAUCCAGUUGUGGUGCUAGUUCUUAUACACAAUCAUACACAUGACAUCUAGUCAUAUUUCAUU